Molecule: transfer RNA, 62 nt
Filed under: Goniomonas pacifica
Lineage: Eukaryota; Cryptophyceae; Goniomonadida; Goniomonadaceae
Rfam family: tRNA
About the family: Transfer RNA (tRNA) molecules are approximately 80 nucleotides in length. Their secondary structure includes four short double-helical elements and three loops (D, anti-codon, and T loops).
Source: RNAcentral
AUAUAGCUCAACGGUAGAGCAGCUGGCUUUUAACUAGAAGGUUCUGAGUUCGAAUCUCAGUA